Molecule: ribosomal RNA, 718 nt
Filed under: Arthrobacter sp. L16
Lineage: Bacteria; Bacillati; Actinomycetota; Actinomycetes; Micrococcales; Micrococcaceae
Description: bacterial SSU rRNA
Rfam family: Bacterial small subunit ribosomal RNA
Source: RNAcentral
UUGCUGGGGGAUGAGCGGCGAACGGGUGAGUAACACGUGAGUAACCUGCCCUUGACUCUGGGAUAAGCCUGGGAAACCGGGUCUAAUACUGGAUAUGACCUUCUGGCGCAUGCCAUGUUGGUGGAAAGCUUUAUUGCGGUUUUGGAUGGACUCGCGGCCUAUCAGCUUGUUGGUGGGGUAAUGGCCUACCAAGGCGACGACGGGUAGCCGGCCUGAGAGGGUGGACGGCCACACUGGGACUGAGACACGGCCCAGACUCCUACGGGAGGCAGCAGUGGGGAAUAUUGCACAAUGGGCGCAAGCCUGAUGCAGCGACGCCGCGUGGGGGAUGAAGGCCUUCGGGUUGUAAACCUCUUUCAGUAGGGAAGAAGCGAAAGUGACGGUACCUGCAGAAGAAGCGCCGGCUAACUACGUGCCAGCAGCCGCGGUAAUACGUAGGGCGCAAGCGUUAUCCGGAAUUAUUGGGCGUAAAGAGCUCGUAGGCGGUUUGUCGCGUCUGCCGUGAAAGUCCGGGGCUUAACUCCGGAUCUGCGGUGGGUACGGGCAGACUAGAGUGAUGUAGGGGAGACUGGAAUUCCUGGUGUAGCGGUGAAAUGCGCAGAUAUCAGGAGGAACACCGAUGGCGAAGGCAGGUCUCUGGGCAUUAACUGACGCUGAGGAGCGAAAGCAUGGGGAGCGAACAGGAUUAGAUACCCUGGUUAGUCCAUGCCGGUAAAAC